GUGUUCCUCAGAUGUAUCCUCUCAAAUAGCACCACAAGGGGGAGGGGAGGGGACAGAGGAAGAGGAAAAGCACUGAGUGGGAGAGAGAGAAAGGAAAAAGGAGAAUAAGCAGAGUGGAUAGAAGAGGACAAAACUGACUGCAAGCAGCUCCACGGCUACCUGUCAACACAUGCUGUGCUCCAUGGCUAACUCGGGCUGCCUCCUUAUCUCCAACUCAGGCAUGCUUCCUCACUCUCUCCCCUGCCCUCCAGCCUUUCUCUACCUCCCGCAGGGUAAUCAGGACACCACGGCUCCUCCUGAAGCAAUGGCUCAGCCCUACCCCCCUGCCCAGUAUCCUCCGCCUCCCCAGAAUGGAAUCCCUGCAGAGUACGCACCCCCGCACCCCCACCCCACACAGGACUACUCGGGGCAGAGCACGGUACCGGAGCACCCCAUGACCCUCUACACACCAGCACAGAGCCAUGCCGAGCAGCCGGGCGCUGACGCCAGCACACAGUCCAUAGCGGGGACGCAGACGGUAUCGGUAAGAGCCCCCGUGGAGCCCCGGGUGGGCAGCAGGGCCUUUCAGCAGACAGAUGAAGCUGCGCAGACAGAAAGCCAACAGCUGCAUUCCUCAGAGAACACGGACAAGCAGCAGCCCAAGAGGUUACACGUCUCCAACAUCCCCUUCCGGUUCCGGGAUCCAGACCUGCGGCAAAUGUUCGGGCAAUUCGGGAAGAUCCUCGACGUGGAGAUUAUUUUCAAUGAGCGGGGCUCCAAGGGUUUUGGGUUUGUAACUUUUGAAACUAGCACAGAUGCCGACCGGGCACGAGAGAAGCUGAAUGGCACAAUCGUAGAGGGACGGAAAAUUGAGGUGAAUAAUGCCACAGCCCGAGUCAUGACCAACAAAAAGGCUGCAAAUCCCUACAUCAAUGGCUGGAAGUUGAACCCGGUGGUGGGAGCUGUCUACAGUCCUGAAUUCUAUGCAGUAACAGGGUUCCCGUACCCAGCCACAGGGACAGCCGUGGCAUACCGAGGGGCGCACCUACGGGGCCGGGGGCGUGCUGUCUACAACACAUUCCGCGCCGCACCCCCACCUCCACCUCUCCCUACCUAUGGCGCGGUCGUUUAUCAGGAUGGAUUCUAUGGUGCAGAAAUUUACGGGGGUUAUGCAGCCUACAGAUACGCCCAGCCAGCGGCGGCAGCAGCAUACAGCGACAGCUAUGGCAGAGUGUAUGCGGCCGCAGACCCAUACCACCACACCAUCGGCCCUGCCGCCACGUACAGCAUUGGCACCAUGGCUAGUCUAUACCGAGGAGGGUACAGCCGCUUCACUCCCUACUAGCAAGACACCCAGCCCCUCAAACACUAACACUGACUGCUCACUAGAAACCAAAAAACCAAACUAAGCCAAGGCAGAGCCUCCCGGAAGAACACAGUGCCCCUGCCAGGGGCCAGGGCUCCGCCCGGCUCAGCAUGGCACCUAGAACCAUAGGUCUUUACCUCCAGCUGCUCUCAUCCCACGGCUCUUUGUUCACCCACCUGUCUCUCUGUGACCUGCCCUGGCUGAACUGACUGUGUUGCAAAGCCCUGCUGCAGGGCUGGGGCGUGUCCUGCUCUCCCUAGAAGUACAACCAGCAGUGAACCACGGGAGAGAGCCCAGGCUAAGCCCCCUUCUCUGCCCCCGCUGCCAGGAAUACGUGAAGUCCAAAGGCCAGGGCGUUCCAAGAGAGCAGCCUUCCUGCACAGAGCCGCGCCUGGCUUGGCACAGUCCUCCAUUCCUUAGGCCUCUUCACUGCCCCAACUCCCUCCAGCAUCUCUGCGGCAGGCAAGCCUGCUCCUGCUAGGCUGGGCUUGUUCUUCUCGUGCAGUGACACCACAGCUGUUUCCUUCUGGGACCAGGAAGGACAAAACAAAUUAAAAACAAAGCAACAAAACACAAAACAAAGAGGCAACCAACCAGCCGAGUCCCAUACUGUCCACACACAUGCACCAAGCAAGCAGGUCCAGCAGGAGGCGCUGCACCCGCCUGAGUCACGGAGAGUACACAGCGACCGGACAGCGCCGCGGCCAGCUGGGCUGAGAGCCGCCCCUUCCAGCUCCACCCUGCCCCGGCCCGCAGCCAUGUUGGGAGACUUGGGCCCCCGCUCCCCUCCCCAGCCUGCCGGUGCUUCCAGCCCAGGGCAGGGAGGGUGAGAGCGAGCAGUGCGGACUGCUGGGACAGCCUUGGAGCUAGGACUCUGCCAGCCCAAGGCACUCGGCGUGGGCACCGCGUCUUCCUUUCUGCCCUCCCACGCCUGUGCUGUGGGUGCCAGGGCCCUGGGCAGAGCAUCGCAGCAGCCUGCAUCCUCCCGCAGCUUUGGGGGACUUGGCCUCAGGGUAGGAUUCUUGCUUUUUGUUUUCAGAGCUCCAGUGCUUUUGCGCUUGCUGGCCACUGGUGUGUUGAGUGUGUGAGGCCUCAGCUCUCUGAGCAGAGGUGGGAUAGUUGAUGCAGCAGCAGCUUUGCCGGGGCUGCUGGGUGUUGCAGGGGAAGAGUGGCUGUGUUUAAGAGGGAUGUUAGCUACGUGGAGGUUGUAGCUCCCUUGCAUUUUCAUCACCCCGGUGCCCUGAGCUCCUGCCUUCCCCCAGCCCCAUGGGGCUAAAGCCAAGCAGGAGCUGCUUCCUGCUCCACACCUACCCAGGGCAGAUGGAGUUGGGAAGAGGCUGCAUCUGUAGGCCACAACAUGGCGCACCAGGGAUCAUAUCAGCCCCUGCCCCUCAGCAUGGAGCCUGAGGAGGCCAUGUGAUCCCACAGUGGCUGUCUCAGCCACCCCAUCACCACUGGGGGGCAGGGAGCCAAGCUACGUGUGCCCCAGCCAUGCCUGGGGCACGCACACCCCUUAGUGGUGGCUGCAGGAUCGCUGCUCAGAGCCACACCUGCCCCAAGCCCCAGUCCCAUGCCAGCUAGGUGCUGGAGAGGCCCACCGGGCUGAGGGUCACUAUGGGCAGGGCAUGGGAAGCAGUGGGCAGGGUUGGGCAGUGAGGGGAGGACAGUGCUGGCUCUAAACCAGACAGGUGGGGGCAGCUGGGCUCUAAGGCUGGCCAGGGCACCAGAUGCCCCAGGGCCUUGCCA
Molecule: non-coding RNA, 3091 nt
Organism: Chelonoidis abingdonii (Abingdon island giant tortoise)
Lineage: Eukaryota; Metazoa; Chordata; Testudines; Testudinidae
Source: RefSeq, a predicted model, not a curated record